Long non-coding RNA from Mirounga angustirostris (Northern elephant seal), 2588 nucleotides. RefSeq lists it as uncharacterized. The record is from RefSeq and is a predicted model, not a curated record. The transcript has 4 exons. NCBI's taxonomy places the organism in Eukaryota, Metazoa, Chordata, Mammalia, Carnivora, Phocidae.
GUAGUACGCCCUGCGGCGUUGUGCGCAGGCGCGGAAGCUACAUCGGGAACUGUAGUUUCUUAAGACCCGAGGGAGGGUCAACACCGUUGCCAGUGAACUACGAGUCCCUUCGGCCAGUGCGAAGAAGGGCGGGUGAGCGGACCGGAGCGGGCCACGUAUUCCACAGGGUUUCCGCUGGGAGGGGGCGGGGCCCAGGGCCCAGGGCCACAUCGAGGGAUGCUAGCGCGCUCCCCGCCCUCCCACUUUCGACCCAGAGCACUCUGGGAGUUGUAGGUCCUGCGUGCCGCGGAACCCGUAUGUGGCUUCUGCCGGGGACACGGCCGCCAUUUUGUCUCCCCAUGUUUGGAAUUGAUGGUCCGAGUCUAGCGACAGAGCUGCUUCUCUGUGAUCAUGGGCCCUUCGGGGUGUGCCUCCCGCCGCUUCACCCCCGGCCUUCCGCACCCGGGAGAAGCCCCGCAGACUCCAAGCGGCGGGCACGCUCCUAACUUAAGAGGCCGGGUUCAGGCCCAGGGCCUGAGGCGAGGGCUACACUAGCUGGCCGAUGUGUUGGCAGCUUCCACGCUGCAGACGGUGCUGAACCGGGCUGGCUGCCCUUGGGGAUGAUUUUCGUACUAGUAUUGCGGUAUCCUUUCGUGCACAAAGGUUUUUAAUUUUAAUGGAGCCCGAUGAGGGAAGACCUGCCACAGGCCGCCGGGACAGCCUCCUCUGCCGCGCGCAGCAGGCUUUGCGCAGCACGCCCUGGCCCAGGUUCCUGAUGGUUAUUGCUGAAGGUCAUCUUGCAAUCAUAAUAAGAACCACAAGGGCUGGUCCAGCUGCAACACCGGUAUUGAUAAGCUCUGCACAAAGCAACUGGCGAAGUUGGCAGGAUUGCAUGAUUGCCCUUGCAAUUAACUGAGGGGAAUGUCUUCACCUGCAGCGUGCUUCCUAACAGCCUAACUCACGCAGCCACGCAAGCUAACGUGGGACAGCUUGAUCCGGACUUCAGAGAAACCACCCCAACAGUUCACGUAUGGACAGUGUUCACGCCUGUUGCCUGUGGGCCCCUCAGAAGGAUCACCAGAGACGUUCAAACUGCAAGCCAGGAAAAUCUGCCAGAUUGCCACUGCCUGCCCUCCCUCCUUAUGAAGACAUUUCGAGCCCUUGCUGUGAAGACCUAGAAGUCUCCUCCAUUGGCUGCCCUCAGGGCUCAGUCUGCGCCAGUCAUUCAUCUUUGUUGUACCGUGUCACAUCAUUGCAAGAAGUAGGCUGAGUAUAGUACAAUGAGGUAUUCUGAGAGAGAGGCCACAUUCAUAUAACUUUUUAAAAAAAUAUUUAUUUGAGAGAGAGCGAGCACAAGCACGAGUGGGGGAGGGGCAGAGGGAGAGGGAGAAGCAGACUCCCCGAUGAGCAGGGAGCCGGAUUCAGGAUCCCAGGGAUCACAAACUGAACCAAAGGCAGACGCUUAACUGCUGAGCCACCCAGGCGCCCCUCACAUAACUUUUAUUAUGGUUUAUUGUUAUGUUAUGUAUAAUUUAUAUAUUAUAAUACAGUAUAUUAGUACUAUUACUAUAACUUCUAUAAUUGUUCUAUUUUAUUAUUAGUUCCUGUUAAUCUCUUUGCCUGAUUUAUAGAUUAAAUCUUAUCCGAGGUAUAUACAUAUAGGAAAAGCAUAAUAUAUGUAGGGCUGGGUACUAUCUACAGUUUCAGGCAUCCACUAGAGGCCUUGGAGUGUGUCCCUGUGGAUAAGUUGGGGGGGGCUACUGUAGGCUUAACUUGGGAAGUCCACCUGCAUCACCACCUUCUGAAAUGAGACAUAACCUUUAAUUGAACUGACCUUUUCUCAGGACUCAGAACUGGUUCGAUGAGCUAUGGAACAAUUUACCAGCUCAGGACAGGUUCAAACCUGCUCACACUAUGUAGAGGCCACUUUCAGGUGACCAGCUUGAGCAGUGGAGGCCUGAAUAAGGCCCACAGUGACCCCCAUUUCCCUGGCUGACUGAAAACAGGUCCAUUAGGAAGCCCACUUCAAAAUACCCAUAAGCCCUAGCUAAACAAUGGGCUGCUUACUCCCAGACACAGGUACCCCAAAAGGAAAAUUCCAUACGUUCCCAUACCUCCUCACCUUCCCCUUUAUCUACAGCCCCCACCAUCCCCUCCACAGACAGCCUUUCCUCUGCUGUCCUGCCCUCCUCUGCUUCCCUGCGGUUUAUUCUAUCAACUUCUAUCUCCAUUGUUCUGCCUCCGGUGAAUCCUUUACCGCCUGAGCGGCCGGCCCUCGCCUGGGUCACCCCACACACUAAAUGGCCCAAGAUGUUAAAAUAUCUGGUAGUAUUACCCAAAACCCUGCACAGAUCACCUGAGCUGCCCCCCCCCCUUCAAGUUUGGGACGAUGGCUACAGACUACAUUCCAGACUACUGCCUGUGUAAUUUUUAUAGGAUUUGCUACCAUAAUCCUAUGUGGAAGUGCACUUUCUGUGUUACAACGUGCCCAACCCCACCUGCAGCCUGUUAGCUAGCCCCAUAGAGUCCUGGCGGACUUGGGGCGGAUCGGAGUGCGGAUCGGAGUGUGGAUCGGAGUGUAAGCCCUCACGGGCUUUUCCCUCUGUGGU